GUCAACGACAGCACGCCAGUUUCGAUUCACACGAAAUCCGAGCGUUGGGUGCAGAAGGAACAUAGUUUUCUCCCAACGCACGAUCAAGUAUUAUUGUCGCUCGGAUACUGCCAGCAACAGCCGGCACACGCAAGCACAUAGUUUUGCGGUCAUCAGGGGCAGACAUCAUGGCACGAUUGCCUGUCCUCGUAGCAAGGAAAAUCGGGCUGAGUUAGGCAGCAGUAACAGGUCGCGAGGUGAUAUCUGCACCGACGCUUAAAGCAUAACACUAUGGCAAGCUUGCUGCUCCCUAACACCGUCGUCGUCUCCUUGCCGUCCGGCAGGCGCCGGAGACCACCUGUGGUUAGCUCCUGGUGAUCAGCACCUUUGCCUGCAAAAUGCGUCGGUUGAAUCAUAUUUAUAUAUCCACAGUUCCACUUCCACACCAGUAAAAACUUGUAGAUCUAGCUACAAUGGCGAGAUAUAUAUAACAUAUAUAAGCACUCACAUUUUGCAGAGAUGGCAUGGCAUGCCAAGAACACGGUGAGCAGAAUCGGGAUCACCUUAGCAUCCAUCUGCUGCCUGGCUGCCGAUCAAUCAGCAAAGGGGAGUACUACCCGAGGUUAUCCUUUUGAAUCUAUCCGUGCUGAUGAUCGAUAUAUGAACAGCGAGGAACAGGAAAUAGCUCGAGUAUGUAAUAAUUUAUAGAUCAGCAAGUUGAUUCAGUUAACCACAAAAAAAAGCUGGUUGGCCAACAAAAAUUAAUGUGCUUUAUGGAAGCGUAAUUAAUUUAAUUACUACGUAUACUAGAGUACGUUAUUUGAUUAGAUAACCGAAUGUGCUAUGUAUACCUUUGACUGCACUCAAGGGCAAAACUAGAGCAAAUUGAAUGGGGUGCACCACUUAAUCAUAAUAAACCAUAUGAUGUUCGAACAAAAUAGCAUAACUAAUACACAACUACCAUAUUUUUAAAUCAAAAUUCGACUUCUAGCAAUAGCGAUGAGAUUUUGGUCCAAACAUAAGGUAGAGGUAAUUAUAACACUCACCAUUUAACAAAAUGAAGACGACUUUGAUCACUUUAGUGUAGUCAUUGAUAGAAUGCCAAAAUCAUGAAUGAAAGAUGGCUCAUAUAGCAAAAUAUGUGAUUCAGGAAAGAAACAAAAUAGGUCAAUUAUUUAGCAAAUAAAUUGUAAAAAAUAUUCACCAGGCCAUGGGGGUGCACAAAGGGUGAAAUAUGUUUUUGCGAAGGUAGUUUGUUUUUGGCCUGCAUGCCUAGGCAUCCAAAUGGGCCUAACUGGGCUUCGCCCCUGACUGCACUUUAGGAUCUAGGCUAUUUGAAAGACCAAUUCUAGUAUGGCAGCACUUAAAUUGCUGCUGGUCAUGAUCCAUUGAAGGUCAAGUGCUUUGUGCUUGGCCUUAUGGAGAAGGGGCACUCUUAUUUGACCUUGCGCCUUGGUGACUCAACAAGACUUAACCUUUAGUCGUUGCUCCAACGUGUUGGGGUGUGGUGCAUAUAUGGUGUGGCAACACACCUCGAUAUCAUGGGAACAAUUUAAGUUGUCUCAAUAUUCUCUUUACUUCUUGUAUUUCUACUUGGUGUGUUCUUUCCUUCCACAAUGUUCUUAUGAGCUUGAAGUACUUAAAUGACAACAGUGCAUAAGAUUAAUCAUGCUCUCUGAUCGAUAGGUUUUCAUUCUUGUGAAUUAAAUACCCUAUUGCUGCGUGAUCUUUGCUGAAGACAUAGCCUAAGUACUUCUUUAGUGCUAUUUUUUGUGCUAUUUUCAAACUAUUUCCAAAGGUCUUCAUUUUAAAUGAGAGAUGAUGCCCAUGGCCACCUUUAGAAAUGUAUUUAUAGCUAUUGAUGUCCAUCUCUAACAAUACAUUUCAGACGUGGAGUUUUUAGCACCCGUGAAUAUUGACCAUUUCUAGAGAGUCCCUUAAUAAAAGAGGAGUCAUGUAAUCACUUGUAAAAAUCCUAUUUAUCGCUUGCUUCUAGAAAUAGUUUUUUAGUAGUGACUGUGUGUUGCAAAAAGAUGUUGGAUAUUUUUUCAUACAAAGUGGAUUGCUAGUGUUGGUAUUUUUAGCAUCACUUCAUAUUAAGUUGUCAUCUCUAACAUGAUGCCAAAAACCAAGGAUAAAAAUAAUCUACUCGCAAUAACUCUAAAUAGAAUAUAUCCGCAAGCGCACAGAUAAUUCUCCCAUUGUAGCAUUUUGCCCAGGAAGUAUUCCGAGUAUCGUUGAUUUAUUUUAUGUCAAAAGGAUAAAGCAGCAUUCUAUUCAUUAGGCUUAGGUAAUCUUGUAGGAACUAAAGAAAUUAUAAUUAUGUAAAUCUAUCACAACCAAUAGUACUAAUGCUUUAGUGAUAACUAGUCGAUAAUAUGAUAAAUGAUAAAUGAUAACUGAGUAAUGAAGUAAAUGGUAUUCCAGAGAUAAGAAAUAAAGACUCACCAAUGUAGCAAGGCAAUCUUGAUAUUCAAAUAAAAUAAAAGAAACCUAUGCAAUUACUAAUAUAAAAUCUACAGCCUACGCCAUGCUACAUAUUUUCAUCUAUAAUGUGACAAACUCAGAAAACAUCAUAAGUAGCAUCAACUAAUAAGGAUUUUAAGACGCAACUGUCACCUCCUUCGCGACCGCGCUCGGCUAGUCCUAUGUAUGGGGGGUGGACUACAAAGAAACCAACGCAUCUGUCACCUACGCGGACUACCAAACGACCCGACACAUCAGGGUGCCUUCGUAGGUACACAAUAUAUCUAGACACCACGUCUACAUAGUAUACACCACCUGACUCACUCGAGUACUGAAUCAGGCGCUUUACGAUCAUAUAACGAUAAUCAUCAUGAACCACAUCUAUAUCGAAUAUGCAACUAGAAUAAACUAAGAACUGAAUAAAUAGCAAUAUAUUAAAGUAGAGCAAAGUCAUAAUGAAAUACAAGAUAAUAUUACCAAUUUCUGGAAUCCCGAGGAGAGCGCCCGAUCUCUACUUGAACCUCGCUAGACACCUAUACUAAACAACUUCAAGAACUAGAGCUCUGCUUCUAAUCUCUGGAAAACCCUAACUUCUGACUACUCUUGACAAAUGAAGCAGGAGGAAUGAAUUGAAUCUGGGGUGCUUCUGGGAGGGGGUCUGCCCCUUUAUUUAUAGCCUCGUGGAGUACGUGUGCGCCGUAGAAUCAAACCGACUUAACCAAAGGCCGAGAUGCAUCAAGAGAGGAGGUGGAGGAAGCUUCCAGAAGAGGGGGCCGAAACCCUAAAGGGGGGCGCCGGCGGGCGCUAGGGUGGGGUCGGCCGGCCCCACCUAGCAGCCGCCAAGCCCCCCGUUGCGUCGGGUGCGUUCUCGAUCCUUUCUGAGUCUUCCCGCGACAUUUGCCGUGGCGGAUAAUUUUCGUGUAUAUUUUGCAUUGGAAUCUCUCUUUUCAGCUUUCCUGAAAUUCACCCUGGAAAAUAUAGAGUAUGCAAAACUUGUGGAAAUUGUCAGUUUAAACCCUAGACUAGCGUGUAUUCGUAUUUUCCUUUGGAUUUAA
Molecule: long non-coding RNA, 3500 nt
Filed under: Sorghum bicolor (sorghum)
Lineage: Eukaryota; Viridiplantae; Streptophyta; Magnoliopsida; Poales; Poaceae
Description: long non-coding RNA (SBIC_LNC006036)
Source: RNAcentral